This 95-nucleotide small nuclear RNA is filed under the name Callithrix jacchus (white-tufted-ear marmoset). The record is from RNAcentral. Lineage: Eukaryota; Metazoa; Chordata; Mammalia; Primates; Cebidae.
UUGUUUUGGCAGCAUAUACAACAAAUUAGAACCACAGAGGAGGUGAGCAUGGCCGCUGCAGAAGGAUGACAAUAAAAACUUAAAAAUACAUUUUU